GGGUCCGUGGCCUAAUAGAAAGGCGCUUGACUUCGGAUCAAGAGAUUCGGGGUUCAAGUCCCCGCGGGCUCA
Molecule: transfer RNA, 72 nt
Organism: Acanthamoeba castellanii str. Neff
Lineage: Eukaryota; Discosea; Longamoebia; Acanthamoebidae
Rfam family: tRNA
About the family: Transfer RNA (tRNA) molecules are approximately 80 nucleotides in length. Their secondary structure includes four short double-helical elements and three loops (D, anti-codon, and T loops). Further hydrogen bonds mediate the characteristic L-shaped molecular structure. tRNAs have two regions of fundamental functional importance: the anti-codon, which is responsible for specific mRNA codon recognition, and the 3' end, to which the tRNAs corresponding amino acid is attached (by aminoacyl-tRNA synthetases). tRNAs cope with the degeneracy of the genetic code in two manners: having more than one tRNA (with a specific anti-codon) for a particular amino acid; and 'wobble' base-pairing, i.e. permitting non-standard base-pairing at the 3rd anti-codon position.
Source: Rfam